UAAUAAAAACAGGGGAGCUUGAAUAUAGCAGGCUGAGAGGAAGUGCUCAAACUUCGACCCUUUAACCUGAUGCGGAUAAUGCCGCCGUAGGAAGUCAUGAUAAGAAGAUU
RNAcentral lists this non-coding RNA (110 nucleotides) under Clostridium sp. Its description in RNAcentral is "TPP sequence". It matches the Rfam family "TPP riboswitch aptamer (THI element)". Rfam says of the family: Vitamin B(1) in its active form thiamin pyrophosphate (TPP) is an essential coenzyme that is synthesised by coupling of pyrimidine and thiazole moieties in bacteria. Lineage: Bacteria; Bacillati; Bacillota; Clostridia; Eubacteriales; Clostridiaceae. The record is from RNAcentral. RNAcentral also lists the same sequence under 1 other name.